ACGAACGCUGGCGGCGUGCUUAACACAUGCAAGUCGAACGGAAAGGCCCUGCUUGCAGGGUACUCGAGUGGCGAACGGGUGAGUAACACGUGGGUGAUCUGCCCUGCACUUCGGGAUAAGCCUGGGAAACUGGGUCUAAUACCGGAUAGGAGCCAUUUUUAGUGUGAUGGUUGGAAAGUUUUUUCGGUGUAGGAUGAGCUCGCGGCCUAUCAGCUUGUUGGUGGGGUAAUGGCCUACCAAGGCGGCGACGGGUAGCCGGCCUGAGAGGGUGGACGGCCACAUUGGGACUGAGAUACGGCCCAGACUCCUACGGGAGGCAGCAGUGGGGAAUAUUGCACAAUGGGCGCAAGCCUGAUGCGGCGACGCCGCGUGGGGGAUGACGGCCUUCGGGUUGUAAACUCCUUUCGCUAGGGACGAAGCUUUUUGUGACGGUACCUAGAUAAGAAGCACCGGCUAACUACGUG
Molecule: ribosomal RNA, 464 nt
Filed under: uncultured bacterium
Lineage: Bacteria
Description: partial 16S ribosomal RNA
Rfam family: Bacterial small subunit ribosomal RNA
Source: RNAcentral